This 428-nucleotide ribosomal RNA is filed under the name uncultured bacterium. RNAcentral describes it as "bacterial SSU rRNA". It matches the Rfam family "Bacterial small subunit ribosomal RNA", at positions 97 to 520 of the family's 1533-position model. The record is from RNAcentral.
GGCGAACGGGUGAGUAAUACAUCGGAACAUGUCCUGUAGUGGGGGAUAGCCCGGCGAAAGCCGGAUUAAUACCGCAUACGAUCUACGGAUGAAAGCGGGGGACCUUCGGGCCUCGCGCUAUAGGGUUGGCCGAUGGCUGAUUAGCUAGUUGGUGGGGUAAAGGCCUACCAAGGCGACGAUCAGUAGCUGGUCUGAGAGGACGACCAGCCACACUGGGACUGAGACACGGCCCAGACUCCUACGGGAGGCAGCAGUGGGGAAUUUUGGGACAAUGGGGGAAACCCUGAUCCAGCAAUGCCGCGUGUGUGAAGAAGGCCUUCGGGUUGUAAAGCACUUUUGUCCGGAAAGAAAUCCUUGAUCCUAAUACGAUCGGGGGAUGACGGUACCGGAAGAAUAAGCACCGGCUAACUACGUGCCAGCAGCCGCGG